CACAAACCUAUGAGAACCUUGAAGGGACUCAGGCUCAUCAUCUCUGGAUGCCCUGCACCUAGCAGAGAGAAGUGACUGAAUUCACUGCUGCAUCAGUGCCCAUGAGAGAAGGCUGUCCUCACUUUGAACAGAAGGUCUGGUGUAUUGAGAGCUGGAUGAGCAGCUGGGUGCAGCCUUCUCCUUAUACUCAAGUUCAACAAGACUCACAGGCAGCACAGAGCCAGAGGAUUUGCGGUCCAUUAAACACAAGGCCACGGGAAGCCUUGAAUAGUGCCCAUUCACACAGAGGCUGAGCAAAGUUUGCACUGCAGUGAGAGUGCUGUCCAGGUUAGAAACCACAACUAAAAAACAACAACAAAAACCCUCACAGACUGAAGGAGUAGCCAGGGUCUACACCAUACCCAAGGAAUCUUAUACCGAAAUGAAGAUCUGCAUAGGCCCAGCUUGUGGCUUAUGGGCCUGUGCCCUUUGGUGGCCUGGGACAGUCGAUCCUCUGAAACAGUCCAUAAAAUUACAACUUUUAGGGAAGGAACAGAUGACAUUUUUCACCAUUUUUGCUGAACACCUUGAAUGCUUUCCUUGAAAUCAGGCGGAAUGUGAAUUUCUCCAUUGAAAGAGUUAAUUGGAUAAUUUAUAUACAUUCCAGUUUUAUUUCUAGGAAUAUAUUAAAA
This is a long non-coding RNA of Prionailurus viverrinus (fishing cat), 671 nucleotides long. RefSeq lists it as uncharacterized. Lineage: Eukaryota; Metazoa; Chordata; Mammalia; Carnivora; Felidae. The record is from RefSeq and is a predicted model, not a curated record. The transcript has 3 exons.